This 955-nucleotide ribosomal RNA is filed under the name uncultured Thermoplasmatales archaeon. Its description in RNAcentral is "bacterial SSU rRNA". It matches the Rfam family "Archaeal small subunit ribosomal RNA", at positions 102 to 1008 of the family's 1478-position model. Lineage: Archaea; Methanobacteriati; Thermoplasmatota; Thermoplasmata; Thermoplasmatales. The record is from RNAcentral.
GGACAAUCUACCCUUCGGGGGGGGAUAAUCUCGGGAAACUGAGAAUAAUACCCCAUAGGUCUAGGAUGCUGGAACGCUUCUAAACUGAAAGUUCCGACGCCGAAGGAUGAGUCUGCGGCCUAUCAGGUUGUAGCAAGUGUAAUGCACUUGUUAGCCUACAACGGGUACGGGCCAUGAGAGUGGUUGCCCGGAGAUGGACUCUGAGACAUGAGUCCAGGCCCUACGGGGCGCAGCAGGCGCGAAAACUUCGCAAUGUGCGCAAGCACGACGAGGGAAUCCUAAGUGCCUAUGCUUUGCAUAGGCUGUUCUCCUGUCUAAAAAACAGGGGGAGUAAGGGCUGGGUAAGACGGGUGCCAGCCGCCGCGGUAAUACCCGCAGCCCAAGUGGUGAUCGUUAUUAUUGGGUUUAAAAUGUCCGUAGCUGGUCUAGUAAAUUCCUGGGUAAAUCGAAUUGCUUAACAAUUCGAAUUCCGGGUAGACUGCUAGACUUGGGACCGGAAGAGGUCAGAAGUACUUCUGGGGUAGGGGUAAAAUCCUGUAAUCCUGGAGGGACUAUCAGUGGCGAAAUUUCGGAAGCAAAUCUUCCUCAUUUAUCGUUGCUUCUGCAACGCUAAGGCGUCUGACUAGAACGGAUCCGACAGUAAGGGACGAAGCCCUGGGGCGCAAACGGGAUUAGAUACCCCGGUAGUCCAGGGUGUAAACGCUGUAGGCUUGGUGUUGGGAGUUCUAUGAGGACAUCCAGUGCCGGAGAGAAAUUGUUAAGCCUACUACCUGGGGAGUACGGUCGCAAGACUGAAACUUAAAGGAAUUGGCGGGGGAGCACCGCAACGGGUGGAGCGUGCGGUUUAAUUGGAUUCAACGCCGGGAAUCUCACCGGGGGGCGACGGUUUUAUGAAGGCCAGGCUAAUGACUUUGGCCUAAUUUUCCCAGAAGUGGUUGCAUGGGCCAUCGUCCGA